UCCGGUCAGUGACGUAGUUCCGCUUUGCGGGGCGCGCGGUGGACCGUCUGAAACGUAGAGUUCGGCUUUCGCUGGGGCAUCGCGGCUCGGAGCUCAGCAUGGCUACCUCACGAGGCGCCUCCACGGCAGCCAAAACUAAGGCACCUGAUGACUUAGUUGCUCCUGUUGUGAAGAAACCACACAUCUAUUACGGAAGUUUGGAAGAGAAGGAGAGGGAGCGUCUGGCCAAAGGAGAGUCUGGGAUUUUGGGAAAAGAAGGACUUAAAGCUGGAAUUGAAGCAGGAAAUAUUAACAUAACCUCUGGAGAGGUGUUUGAAAUUGAGGAGCACAUCAGUGAACGACAGGCCGAAGUGUUAGCCGAGUUUGAGAGAAGAAAGCGAGCCCGGCAAAUCAAUGUUUCCACUGAUGACUCAGAGGUCAAGGCUUGCCUUAGAGCCUUGGGGGAGCCCAUCACACUUUUUGGAGAGGGUCCUGCUGAAAGAAGAGAAAGGUUAAGAAAUAUCCUCUCAGUGGUUGGUACUGAUGCCUUAAAAAAGACCAAAAAAGAUGAUGAGAAAUCUAAGAAGUCCAAAGAAGAGUAUCAGCAAACCUGGUACCAUGAAGGACCAAACAGCCUGAAGGUCGCUAGACUAUGGAUUGCUAAUUAUUCACUGCCCAGGGCAAUGAAACGCUUGGAAGAGGCUCGUCUCCAUAAAGAGAUUCCUGAGACAACCAGGACGUCCCAGAUGCAAGAGCUGCAUAAAUCUCUCCGGUCUUUGAAUAAUUUCUGUAGUCAGAUUGGGGAUGAUCGGCCUAUCUCCUACUGCCACUUUAGUCCUAAUUCCAAAAUGCUGGCCACAGCUUGUUGGAGUGGGCUUUGCAAGCUCUGGUCUGUUCCCGAUUGCAACCUCCUUCACACUCUCCGAGGCCAUAACACAAAUGUAGGAGCAAUUGUAUUCCAUCCAAAAUCCACUGUCUCCUUGGACCAGAAAGAUGUCAAUCUGGCCUCUUGUGCUGCUGAUGGUUCUGUGAAGCUUUGGAGCCUUGACAGUGAUGAACCAGUGGCGGAUAUUGAAGGCCAUACAGUGCGUGUGGCCCGUGUAAUGUGGCAUCCAUCGGGGCGUUUCUUGGGCACCACCUGCUAUGACCGCUCAUGGCGCUUAUGGGAUUUGGAGGCUCAAGAGGAGAUCCUGCAUCAGGAAGGCCACAGCAUGGGUGUGUAUGACAUUGCCUUCCAUCAAGAUGGCUCUUUGGCUGGCACUGGGGGACUGGAUGCAUUUGGUCGUGUUUGGGACCUGCGCACAGGACGGUGUAUCAUGUUCUUAGAAGGCCACCUGAAGGAAAUCUAUGGAAUAAAUUUCUCCCCCAAUGGGUACCACAUUGCAACUGGCAGUGGUGACAACACGUGCAAAGUGUGGGACCUUCGACAGCGGCGUUGUGUCUAUACCAUCCCUGCCCAUCAGAACUUAGUGACUGGUGUCAAGUUUGAGCCUAUCCAUGGGAAUUUCUUGCUCACUGGUGCUUAUGAUAACACUGCCAAGAUCUGGACCCACCCAGGCUGGUCUCCACUGAAGACUCUGGCUGGCCAUGAAGGCAAAGUGAUGGGCCUAGACAUUUCUUCUGAUGGGCAGCUCAUAGCCACUUGCUCGUAUGACAGGACCUUCAAGCUCUGGAUGGCUGAAUAGGCAGGACCAUGGAAAAAGGGCUCUAACCUCAAAGCUCUUCCCUAAGAGCCAUUUUCAAAAGAAAGGAAUUGAUAUGUUUUGUUCUAUCAUGUUUUUUGCCAAUUACAUUGUAUAGACCCUCAAAAGAAUUGGAUUUCCAUGUCAGCCUCCACUCCAGCACUCAGGAUUGUGACUGGCUCCAUUUUUAAUUUUGAAACUUGGCUUUCCAUUACGUGGUACGUGCCUCAGGACUACAUGUGACCCACAGAGCAAGCAGCUGCACUAUAGUCUGGAAGCCCUCAAAUAAAGAGGCACUUCUCACCACACACCUGGUUAACCAGUGCCUUGACAGAGUGCAAACCUUUCCUCUGCCUUUAGAACAGGAGAUGAAGAGGUAGACCACAGCUAUGCUCAGGGUUAUGCAGUAAAGAAGAUUUUACGUCUUCCUGUUGAGUUUGCUUGGAAUGCUAACCACAUCAGGAAGCUCAGAACUGAACAUUUGCCCUGUCCGAAAAUGUCUUCCAUUUUGCUUUGAAGUUUGGCAUCCUUUGUGUUACCCCAAAGCUAGGCCAUUGUGUCAAGAGGCAAUGAAAUUUCUGGAAAGCAAACAUGAAGUCUCUGUUGUGCCACCUCCUUUGUAUUGGUUAUUAAGAGGAUGUACCUUUCAUGGCAAGGUAACUGGGAAAAAUCCCUCAUGGGUAUUCGUCAACAUCAACUUUCUUUUUUUCUUUAUUACACACUUGCUACAGAGUAAAAUCCUAUUAUAAAAAAUGUCCUUUAAAGACUUAUUUUGUAUAGUUAGGCAUUUUCUGAAUCCCAGCCAUUGGUCCAUAGAGUUCUCCCCCCCCCUUUUUUUUGUUUGAGAUAUAACGGAUGAUACCAGAUAUGGCUUAUUCCAGUUUUUCUCUUCUUAAGCACUCUGCUAAUAGUUUUUGUUUUUGUUUUUGUUUGUAGAGACUACUGCCUUGUGGGCCAGACUAUUAGCAAACUGGGUCUGGACUCUGUAAUUCAUACUCAUUGGCCGUGCAGCAGUCACCUUCACCUCUUUCCACCCCAAAUACACAACCACUGAACACGAAGUACACAGUAAAUUCUGACAAAAAUACAGGAAUUUGGAAGAAGAAAGGAUUGCAUAUAGAGAAAUGGAGAAGGGCUUAUAUGAUGGCUUUUCCUUGAAUGUUCAAAACACUUCAUUUGCUGUUCCAGAGAGGCUGACAGUGGCUUUGUCUAGUAAUUCUAUCCUGCAAACUAUGAAUGUGUGAUAAUCUUUUGUCUAAUUUUAAUUAUAACCAAAUAGUUGCAUAUUUUGAGUGCUGGUUAAGCUUCUGAAUUAUGGGCUCUGCCCCCUGUUGCGCAUUUGGCACUUCGUUAUUAAGUAUUAAUGGAUUUUAUUUUCUCCAUAGUUGGCCGUGGAAAAUAAUUUUUCAUUACUAACUUUUGUACUAUGUGUAAAGUAAUAAUUAACAUUAGUGUAUUAGCAUGCAAUCUGGAUGUAGUGUAUUAACAAAGGUUUUAAGUUUUUCAAGUUUAAAUUUUACUAUUCUGUUGAACUUUUUGUGUGUGUGUGGUUGUUCCAAGAGAUUGAGGUAGCAAUCAGGUGAACACAUUUCAUGUAAGCUUUUGGCAAAACAGUUCCCUUGUGGAAUAUACAUUACUUCGUUGUAAGGAGGCAGUUAGCUGAGAAGCAUAAACCAAAUAUAGUGUUUCAUAAUAAUAGUGAGAAUCAGAGCCACCACUUAAAAGGACACUUCCUGCCUAGAGACUUUGCCAGCCAUGUUCAGACACUUCAUUUAAUCCUCCCAAUCUUCUGAGUUAAGUUGUAUUCCCUUUUUACAGACAAAAUCGAAGCUCAGAGAAGUUAAGUAACUUGCUCAGGGUUACCCUGUCAGUGAGUGAUGGAGCCUCGUCUGUCUGUGUGUCUGUGACCUUAGGAAGAGAAUUCAUAGGGAUUUACUGAGUAUGUUGGCAGCACUGGCCAGACAGAAUGACCAGUCCAGCCAAUAUGGCCUGUUUCCUAUACAAAGCCAGAGCUUUUUAGCCCCUCUACCUGUGACACCUCCCUUGUGAUGAGUCACUGCAUCUCAGUCUGACUUCAUGCCAAAGGGAGUCACGGGAUUUCACCACCUCUACGUCAUGAACUAAUAAGGCGCCUGUAAUGUCACUCAACAGGAAACUUUGCAUCUUGGGAUAGAUGUUUUGUUGUGUGGAGCUGUCUUAAGCAUUGCAGCAUGUCUCACCAUCCCUGACCUAUAGAGUAAUAAAAGCCAGAAGCACAACCCACCCCAUCAUUGGAACACCAAAGUUGCUUCCAGACAUUUUUGCAUGCCCCAAGGUUAGAACUACUGAAGGUAAAAAUAGACACCCUACUGUUGAGCAUAUCCUUCCCUACCCCCAAAAAACUCAAACCUAUAUCUUUCCCUAUGUGGAUGGUGUACUAGCCACUCCAAGAGCCACUCCCCAAUUCUACUUGGACAAAAAGGCCCCCACCACUUACUGGCUGGUGAGCUGGAAUGAGACAGCAAAACCUGUGGAGCCUCAGGUUCACCUGCAGAAUAGGGAUGAAGUUUCCUUAACUCAGAGCAGUAAGCUCUACUGCAGCGGCAGGUGUUUCUUCUUGAGCUUCCCCCAGCUCCUCUCCUUCUCCUCAUGGCCCAGAGAACAUAGGGAGAUCAUUGCCUAAUUUACUUGCCGCGAUGUUAAGGAGCAACGAUGUGUAAAGAAAUGAAAUCAGCAGGGAGAGGUUGAGUCCCAGCUUUAGUGUAAUUAUCUUUGAUGGUGCAAAUGGAGAGGUAGGUGUCAGUCCCCUGGCGGGAUACAUAGGGUGGCAUUCCAGUUUUGUAAUGGAGAAUUUUCUUCAUGUUGGUGCUUAACACCAUGUGGUCUUAGGAAACAUGAAAUACAGGUCAACUGUAUUGAGAAGCAACUCCAUUGAGAAACGCAACUUUCUCUCUGGGCUAGUCGGGUUCCUGGAUACCGUGGUCCAGCCCUUUGGCACAACUUGUUCCGUAGCCCUAUAAUCAAAGAUCUGCUUCUCUGCCCUGGCUAUUUUGGAAUAUUUUGUGCAUUAAGAUCCCUUAAGAAUUUAUAGAAGCUAGUUCCGUUAAGCACAAAAUUUUUAGAACAAAUAAAACCGACUCCGUUUCUGACCUCUGAAAGUUUAUUCCACAAAUCAAGAUCUUUUCAUCGUGAUGGUGUUUUAACCACUUUGAGACUGUUCCAAAGCCGUGGGCCACAGGGCAGUAUUAAAACUGGGAAAGCAGAAGGGGUUUUAGACAAUGCAGAGGUAGCAACUUGUAGCCAAACAGCUGAAGCAUCUAGUUUGCCUUGGUUCUAAGAUUCUGUCACGUAAAAUGAAGACCAGGGUCCCCCAUCUGCAUGGCCUGGGAUGGAAGCUAAGGCUUUUCCGCUGUCCAGGGCUUCUGCUUUCUCUCUCAAGGUCAGAAUUCCAUUGCCUGGAGGAGGGGAGUUGACUCUACCCAACAUCCAGGCUUACUUGGGGCCUCUGCACCUACCAGCCUACACCUUUUCUCCAAAUCCCAGAUUUCUUUUGAUUCACUGACCCUGGUUUCUUUUCACCUUUACACUUUUAUAUUCUCAACACUCCAUAAACCACAUGCUGACAAGAGGUUGUCUUCUACAAGAAGCAGCCCUCCUUGCUGGUAAAGGCUCUCUGUCACCCAUGGAUAAUUCCACCCUUCUCUUCCCCUAGUUCUGACAUAACAUGGGCCGAGUAAGUGGUGGUAGAAUGAGCAAGUGCGUGAAUUCAUGAAUGCACACCAUUUUUUCCUGGGACUGGUGCCAAGACUUCCAAAGAGAAAACUGAAAGAAGGCAUGCACAUUUGCUCACAGAAUUGAAGCUCACUUAACAAAAUUUUAGCAACACCUAUUAAAAAGAGCAACUCAAAUGUGAACGGAGUUCGAAGCAACUCCAUUGAGAAACGCAACUUUCUCUCUGGGCUAGUCGGGCUCCUGGAUACCGUGGUCCAGCCCUUUGGCACAACUUGUUCCGUAGCCCUAUAAUCAAAGAUCUGCUUCUCUGCCCUUCUUGGCCCCGUGGCUCACGUCAAGAGAGACCUAGAUGUCUCUUCACAUCUUUUCCCAGCCUUUUAGCUUUCAGAGGUUCUCAUCAUAGUAGGGAUCUGUUUGCAGAAGCAAACACGUGGACUAACUGAUAGACUGUAAAAAUGAACAAUACAACAAAGGAAGACAACCCCAAAUGAGGCUGUGCAGUCCCCAUCCCCAGCAACAGUCAAGAAAGGCUUAGAUCCAGGGCUCUUGGGUGGCUCAGUCAGUUAAGUGUGUGACUCUUAAUUGCUCGGGUCUUGAUCAUGGGGUUGUGAGUUCACCCGUGUUGGGCUCCACGCUGGGCAUGGAGCCUACUUAAAAUAAGAA
This is an RNA transcript of Zalophus californianus (California sea lion), 6035 nucleotides long. It is a transcript of the gene named pre-mRNA processing factor 4, with no coding region annotated. NCBI's taxonomy places the organism in Eukaryota, Metazoa, Chordata, Mammalia, Carnivora, Otariidae. The record is from RefSeq and is a predicted model, not a curated record. The transcript has 15 exons.